AAGAAAAAUGAGGGUAUAAACUUAGAAGAAACACACCAUCAGAACUAACCAAGAAUAAUAAAUAAAAAAGCAGCUAGAUACUCCAUUAGCGGAAGUGAAGAUAUUUAGUAAUGGCCUUCACAUAUCCACCUGUGAAACAAAGAUGAUGAUCACUUGGUGAGGACCCAAACAGCGUAGAUAAUACCAGGUAGCCAUCCAAAGAGAGUCAACAAAACACAGAUCCAGAACUCCACCUGUUUUUCCAACACAAAAA
Long non-coding RNA from Lycium ferocissimum, 253 nucleotides. RefSeq lists it as uncharacterized. The transcript is spliced from 2 exons. Lineage: Eukaryota; Viridiplantae; Streptophyta; Magnoliopsida; Solanales; Solanaceae. The record is from RefSeq and is a predicted model, not a curated record.